UACGUAGGGUGCAAGCGUUAAUCGGAAUUACUGGGCGUAAAGCGUGCGCAGGCGGUUUUGUAAGUCUGACGUGAAAUCCCCGGGCUCAACCUGGAAUUGCGUUGGAGACUGCAAGGCUGGAGUCUGGCAGAGGGGGGUAGAAGUUCCACGUGUGAGCAGUGAAAUGCGUAGAGAUGUGGAGGAACACCGAUGGCGAAGGCA
Molecule: ribosomal RNA, 201 nt
Filed under: uncultured bacterium
Lineage: Bacteria
Description: partial 16S ribosomal RNA
Rfam family: Bacterial small subunit ribosomal RNA
Source: RNAcentral